This is a non-coding RNA of Salvia hispanica, 765 nucleotides long. The record is from RefSeq and is a predicted model, not a curated record. Lineage: Eukaryota; Viridiplantae; Streptophyta; Magnoliopsida; Lamiales; Lamiaceae.
CUUUUUUAGUAAGUGAGGUGAGAAGUGUAUGUGUUGAAUCAAUGGUGGAUCCAGAGAAGAAGAAGAGCUUCGUCAGAAUUAGUGCGGGGAUGAUGUGUUCGAUCUUGUGCUGUGUAAGUGCAGCUUUGGUGGAGAGAAAGAGGCUUAACAUUGUGAUGUUAAACCAGAUGAAGAUGAGUAUGUAUUGCCUGGUUUUCCAGUUUGUUUUAUUAGGAGGGAUUGAAUCCUUUUUGGAUAAGAGUGUGAGUGCAUACUACAAAACGAUCAGUCGUCCGUAUCAGUGCAAAAAUACGUCGAAACCGGUUUGGGAUACAUGUGCAGUUGAGUUUGUUGUGGGGAAGAUAAUUGAGAGAGGAGGCAAGUCAAACUGGAUUCAACAUAGCUAGAACCAGAGUCGUCUGGACCGGUACUACUGGUUGCUGGCGGGUUUGAGUUUGCUGAAUAUGGUGCUGUUCGUGUUUGUGGCCUCGUGUUAUAGAGACAAGAACCCAAAAGAAGAUAUGGCAGGCAGGGAAGCGCAUGAUGCGGGUGCCGCCUGAUUACAUGGAUGUAUGUAAUGAAGGAUGAUCAUUUUAUUGUUGUACUCUAUACAGUAGAUGUAUCACCAAAUGUAUUAGAUGCUCUUUUCCAAUCAUAAUGUCGUGUUCUUGCUUUUGUUAAGACUUGGAUCGGUAUAAACAACUCCUAUGUUGUUUCUUAGCAGCAGUGCUCAUAUGUAUAAGGAUAUUGUUCUUGAACUUUCAGUCACCAUAUUUUUCUGUUUAA